UACAGAGGUGGCAAGCGUUGUUCGGAAUUACUGGGCGUAAAGGGCGCGUAGGCGGCCAUCUAAGUCAGACGUGAAAUCCCCCGGCUUAACCUGGGAACUGCGUCUGAUACUGGAAGGCUCGAGUUUGGGAGAGGGAUGUGGAAUUCCAGGUGUAGCGGUGAAAUGCGUAGAUAUCUGGAGGAACACCGGUGGCGAAGGCGGCAUCCUGGACCAACACUGACGCUGAGGCGCGAAAGCUAGGGGAGCAAACGGG
This 253-nucleotide non-coding RNA is filed under the name uncultured bacterium. Its description in RNAcentral is "partial 16S ribosomal RNA". It matches the Rfam family "Bacterial small subunit ribosomal RNA", at positions 524 to 776 of the family's 1533-position model. RNAcentral also lists the same sequence under 1 other name. The record is from RNAcentral.